RNAcentral lists this unclassified non-coding RNA (1712 nucleotides) under uncultured fungus. RNAcentral describes it as "sequence contains 18S rRNA gene, ITS1, 5.8S rRNA gene, ITS2, 28S rRNA gene". The stretch from base 610 to 1712 matches the Rfam family "Eukaryotic large subunit ribosomal RNA", at positions 1 to 961 of the family's 3401-position model. The record is from RNAcentral. Lineage: Eukaryota; Fungi.
AGCAGGAUCAUUAUCGUAGAGACUGAAAUAAUUCUCAAAUACACCAAAAAUCAAGUCUCCUGCGGCGGAUCUCAAAAUUCACUGCACGUGAGCAACACUGCCGCGCGAACCAACGUUUUGUGCAAAUGGAACGAAGUCGCGCGGCCGGGCCAACUCUAGGUCCACCCCACGGAUACAACGCUCGACGAUGGAUAUCUUGGUUCAGAGCUCGAUGAAGGUCGCAGCGAAUUGCGAUAAAUGUCACGACUUGCAGAUAUUUGGGAGCUGACAAGUUACUGAAUGCAAAUGGCGGUCGGUUCAACCCGGCCAUGUAUUGCAGAGUGUUGUAGAUUCUCUGUCACCCUCGCGCUCCUCUCCUUCAAAGUAACAUUUGAGGAAAAGCGUUGAGCGGAUCUGGGGUCGUGUGUGAAAGCGUGAUGUUUGCGGGAGCACGAGCAAUCGGGCGAUCGCACCGCCACGCGGUUCACCACAACCCUCAAAUGAAUCCAACAAAAAUGAAGAACGCGAUUCUUGUGUUUUUAUACGAGCCGCAAUUCGCCUCACGGCAUUCGCCAAACUCAUACGAAACGCACAAGCCAGCCGUGUUCAAACAAAUUCAUUUUACCAACACCAACCUCUGCAAUGCAGGAAGACCCGCUGAACUUAAGCAUAUCAAUAAGCGGAGGAAAAGAAAACAACAGUGAUUCCCUUAGUAACGGCGAGUGAACAGGGAACAGCCUAAGCUUGAAUCCACGGAGACUGGGAACCCGGUCCUGCGGAAUUGUAGUGCUAGGAGCUUUGGGCAAGUGUGUGUGAGUGCAGCCAAGAUGAUCUGAGAAGUUCCAUCCAUUGAGGGCUACGGUCCCGUUGGCGCUGCACGCCGCGCAUGCAACAACGCCCAGGGAAUCCACGAGUCGCACAGUUUGGGAUUGCUGUGCAAAUACGCUGGUGUUCUUCAGCGAAGGCUAAAUAUGGCUCUGAGACCGACAGCGAACAAGUAGUGUGAACGAAAGAUGAAAAGAACUUUGAAAAGAGAGUUAAAAGGACUUGAAAUCGUCGGGCGAUAAGGGCAUGGGACCCCUCGCUCACGUUGUGCGCAAGCGCGACGUGUGACAGGCACGCUUGGCCCGUUCCGAGCCGCCGCGUCAGCUUUCCCGCCUGCGGGUUGGGGGAGUGGCGCGGUAGAUUAGCCGGGAGACGGGGCGAGCGGAAAGAAGCAGCGGAAAACCCUGGGGAACGACGCUUCGUUGGGGAGUUGGAUGGUUGCGAAAAGAGCAGCGGUUUCUUCGGGGGCCGUUCUCUAGCGUGACUGUUUGGCGCAACGCGGGGCGGGCGAACUGGGGCGUGCAAGCCUGUCGUUGAAAGGAUCUCAUACCACCCGUCUUGAAACACGGACCGAGGAGUCUACCGAAUGUGCGAGUGUUAUGGUGAGUGAAACCAGAGCCGGGCAACCGGCGGACGACGCGUAAUGAAAGUGACCUUUCGAUCUGUGAUCCCCCCGGCGCCGAGGUUCCGGUAGGGGUGCAACAGAGCUCGAUCCGGAUCAUACUUGAAAAGGAUUUGAAGUGAAGCACAUUCGCUGGGACCCGAAAGAUGGCGAGCUUUUCCCAGGCCGGCUGAAGCCAGGGGAAACCUUGGUGGAGGGCCGUACGCAGUACUGACGUGCAAAUCGUUUGCCAGAUCUGGGUAAAGGGGCGCAAGACUCAUCGAGCUAUCUAGUAGCUGGUUCCCAC